RNAcentral lists this transfer RNA (60 nucleotides) under Wakarumbia fasciata. RNAcentral describes it as "partial tRNA-Ser". The record is from RNAcentral. Lineage: Eukaryota; Metazoa; Arthropoda; Insecta; Coleoptera; Lycidae.
AAAGAAAUUUUAUAUAUAAAAAAAAGCUUCUAACUUUUUUAAAAGCAUUAACUUGUUUAU